This 658-nucleotide long non-coding RNA is filed under the name Marmota monax (woodchuck). Lineage: Eukaryota; Metazoa; Chordata; Mammalia; Rodentia; Sciuridae. The record is from RNAcentral.
AUCAGUAUGUUGGUCACAUCGAUGAAAAGCUGAACAUCACAGCAAGUAUAUAACUCUUUGCUCCUAAAAUUCAACUUCUCACCUGUAGAAUCUGACUCUCAGACUAGUCACAAUUUUAUUCUUUUCCAGUUCAGGUUUUCUUAGCGGUGACAUUUAGGAUGGGAAGGCCAAGGGUGGGAAUGUGAACCUCAACCCUCCAGUUUAUGCCUGCAGAACCCCCCACCCCCAGAUAAUAACUUUUAUGUAUUGAUGAUUCUUAAAUUCUUUGGGCCAACAUUUGUAGCCACUAAAAAGUUUAAAGUGUGUGGGCACUGGCUGCUCCCUUAAAAUUUUACUAUCAACAUACAAUGGAAGAAAGUCUUAGGCUAAAAUUUGCAGCACACACACAUAGAUCCUUAGCAGACAAACAGCAGUAUCUAAGCAGUUUAUAUGAUUGCCCAAGUAGUAAUUGGAGUUACUACUCAGGGUGAAUGUCAUGCUUAGAAACACCAGCAGUGGAGGAAUAAAAGUAGAAGAGAAUAAAAGUCUGUGCAGACUUCCAGUCAUUGCUCAGCCAGCCCAGUGAGCCUCUGGGGAUUUUGAUCACUACAAGUUGAGUACUUCUAAUCUAAAAAUCCAAAAAUCUAAAAUGCUUAAAAAAAACUUGGGGCACCUGCAC